UACGGAGGAUGCGAGCGUUAUCCGGAUUUAUUGGGUUUAAAGGAUGCGCAGGCGGCACGGCAAGCCGGCGGUCAAAUCGCGGGGCUCAACCCCGCCCAGCCGUCGGAACUGCCGGGCUAGAGUGGGCGAGAAGUGCGCGGAAUGCGUGGUGUAGCGGUGAAAUGCAUAGAUAUCACGCAGAACUCCGAUUGCGAAGGCAGCGCACCGGCGCCCUACUGACGCUCGGGCACGAAAGCGUGGGUAUCGAACAGG
Molecule: ribosomal RNA, 252 nt
Filed under: uncultured bacterium
Lineage: Bacteria
Description: partial 16S ribosomal RNA
Rfam family: Bacterial small subunit ribosomal RNA
Source: RNAcentral